This 465-nucleotide ribosomal RNA is filed under the name uncultured bacterium. RNAcentral's name for it is "partial 16S ribosomal RNA". It matches the Rfam family "Bacterial small subunit ribosomal RNA", at positions 28 to 507 of the family's 1533-position model. The record is from RNAcentral.
GACGAACGCUGGCGGCGUGCUUAACACAUGCAAGUCGUACGGUAAGGCCCUUUCGGGGGUACACGAGUGGCGAACGGGUGAGUAACACGUGAGUAACCUGCCCACAACUUUGGGAUAACGCUAGGAAACUGGUGCUAAUACUGGAUAUGUGCUCCUGCUGCAUGGUGGGGGUUGGAAAGCUCCGGCGGUUGUGGAUGGACUCGCGGCCUAUCAGCUUGUUGGUGGGGUAGUGUCCUACCAAGGCGGCGACGGGUAGCCGGCCUGAGUGGGUGACCGGCCACAUUGGGACUGAGAUACGGCCCAGACUCCUACGGGAGGCAGCAGUGGGGAAUAUUGCACAAUGGGCGCAAGCCGGAUGCAGCAACGCCGCGUGCGGGAUGACGGCCUUCGGGUUGUAAACCGAUUUCAGCAGGGACGAAGCUUUUUGUGACGGUACCUGCAGAAGAAGCACCGGCUAACUACGUG